GCCUUCUUGGUGUAGCGGUCAACACGCUCGACUCGUAACCAAGAGGUGCGUGGUUCGAUUCCCGAUGAAGGUG
RNAcentral lists this transfer RNA (73 nucleotides) under Stegodyphus mimosarum. It matches the Rfam family "tRNA". Rfam says of the family: Transfer RNA (tRNA) molecules are approximately 80 nucleotides in length. Their secondary structure includes four short double-helical elements and three loops (D, anti-codon, and T loops). Further hydrogen bonds mediate the characteristic L-shaped molecular structure. tRNAs have two regions of fundamental functional importance: the anti-codon, which is responsible for specific mRNA codon recognition, and the 3' end, to which the tRNAs corresponding amino acid is attached (by aminoacyl-tRNA synthetases). tRNAs cope with the degeneracy of the genetic code in two manners: having more than one tRNA (with a specific anti-codon) for a particular amino acid; and 'wobble' base-pairing, i.e. permitting non-standard base-pairing at the 3rd anti-codon position. The record is from Rfam by way of RNAcentral. Lineage: Eukaryota; Metazoa; Arthropoda; Arachnida; Araneae; Eresidae.